This 46-nucleotide non-coding RNA is filed under the name Schistosoma mansoni. Lineage: Eukaryota; Metazoa; Platyhelminthes; Trematoda; Strigeidida; Schistosomatidae. The record is from RNAcentral.
AUCCAGCUGACGAGUCCCAAAAUAGGACGAAACGCUCGUCCUGUAU